GAAAUCCAGAAGGGGUGGAGCCUGUCGGACAGUUCCUAGGCGACCCAUUCUUGGUUUCAA
This 60-nucleotide microRNA precursor is filed under the name Sarcophilus harrisii (Tasmanian devil). Its description in RNAcentral is "Sha-Mir-551-P1_pre stem-loop". It matches the Rfam family "mir-551 microRNA precursor family", at positions 9 to 67 of the family's 74-position model. Lineage: Eukaryota; Metazoa; Chordata; Mammalia; Dasyuromorphia; Dasyuridae. The record is from RNAcentral.